Podarcis lilfordi (Lilford's wall lizard) is the source of this 72-nucleotide non-coding RNA. The record is from the annotation of a GenBank genome assembly. Lineage: Eukaryota; Metazoa; Chordata; Lepidosauria; Squamata; Lacertidae.
AGGACUGUAGCUCAGUGGAAGAAAAUCUGCUUUGCGUGCAGAAGCUCCCAGGUUCAAUCCCCAGCAUCUCUA